GUGUAGUCGGGUAUGAGAACGAUUGCAAGCAAAAGCAGCUGAGGGACGCUGUCCAAGGAGUAGGCUCAGUAGCACGAACUGCAAAUACUUGAGAAGGGAAAAGUUCAGCCUUGUGCUGGAAAGUGGUUUAGCAUGCUGGAGCUGGUUUUCUGCUUGGUAGCCCUACAACUUUGGCCCAACUACUUGGCCUCUGGGACUCAGAUUCCUCCUCUUUAAAAUGGUGCUAAUAAUAGCACCCACCCUCUGUGAGGAGGAUGCUGUGAGGACAAAAUGAGAUCAUCCACAUAAGCCGUGAACCCUGUUCCUGGUAAGCUCCUGGAAAGAAGUCUAUGGAUUAUACUCAACCUACACUCCAGUUAAAGGAACAUCUACACACAGAGGAAAUGAAUAACAUGAAGUGAAGUCUUCAUCUCCAUUCCCAACAGUCCCCAUUCUACUUGCAGAAAGGUUGCUUACACUGAAAAUCAGUUUAUUUUCCCCUGGUGCAAAGAACAGUCGUUUCUCCAAAACUGAAGCUGGAAAUUAUCUGAAAUAUCAGGUCCUCCGGAAAAGGGACGUGAAGCCCCCUUUGUAAUUUCUGCAUUAGCGUGCUCUCCUGGCAAGCAGGAAACCUCAUCAGAGAAGUCAGCCAAGGAAAGUCUUUAAAUGGAAAUUGUGCAAACGAGGAGCAAAUGCAUUAAAAAGUUGCUGACGGGCAUGAAAUGCUUUGAUGUGAAGACGGAAAACUCCAAGCAGGAAGGAUUUUAACAUUUUGAAUCUGAUUGACUCUGUGGUUUCUCAGCACAGUUAUUCCAUGGGCUAAAAUAAAUGCAGAAAUGGUACUUUCAGACCACAGCUGCAGAGGGGAUCGUGGUGAAUUUCAAUGAAAAUCCAUUUGAAUCUUGAGGUUCAGAUCUUAAAAAAGCAAAGGACAUGAGAGAAGUAAUAUUGUUGCUUGAAAUUUCAUUGCUUAUAUCUAAA
RNAcentral lists this long non-coding RNA (960 nucleotides) under Homo sapiens (human). RNAcentral's name for it is "HSALNT0339435". Lineage: Eukaryota; Metazoa; Chordata; Mammalia; Primates; Hominidae. The record is from RNAcentral.